This 253-nucleotide ribosomal RNA is filed under the name uncultured bacterium. RNAcentral describes it as "partial 16S ribosomal RNA". It matches the Rfam family "Bacterial small subunit ribosomal RNA", at positions 524 to 776 of the family's 1533-position model. The record is from RNAcentral.
UACGUAGGGGGCAAGCGUUGUCCGGAAUCAUUGGGCGUAAAGCGCGCGUAGGCGGCCCGGUAAGUCCGCUGUAAAAGUCCAGGGCUCAACCCUGGAAAGCCGGUGGAUACUGUCGGGCUAGAGUCCGGAAGAGGCGAGUGGAAUUCCUGGUGUAGCGGUGGAAUGCGCAGAUAUCAGGAGGAACACCAAUAGUGAAGGCAGCUCGCUGGGACGGUAUUGACGCUAAGGCGCGAAAGCGUGGGGAGCAAACAGG